CUCUCAGCUACCUCUCCAGCACCAUGUGUGCCUGCAUGCUGCCGUAUUUCCCACCAUGGCAGUAAUGGACUAAACCUCUGAACUCUAAGUCCACCCCAGUUCCAUGUUUUCCUUUAUAAGAGUUGCUGUAGUCAUGGUGUCUCUUCAGGCAAUAGAAACUCAAGCUGAGAAACUACCCAUAUGUACACUUUCAGGACUGAGCAUUUGGCACUGGACAAAAUUGGUGUGCUAUUUCCUGGGGAGGACCACCACUCCUGUCCCAGCUUUCCUCAGUUGCCUGUAGUUCUUUGAAUAGGGUUGAGGCCUUAUGCAGUCUUUUUCAGUCCAGCUUGGCAUGUUCGUUGGUGUCAUCCUUAUUCAGCUCAUUUUGGGUGACCACAUUGGUGAAAGUAGGUAAAAUGUAAGAGCAGACAGAACAUUGGAAGGGGACGGCUACUGCCCAGCACUAGGUGAGAGUUGCCAUUUGGAAGGAUAGGCCUUGAUUGCUAGAAAUUUCCAUUUUUAGGAGAAAUGGUAAAUCUUUUUUAAAAUGUGAAAUGUCCCAGUUUCAAAUAUUGGCAACUAGUUUUGAAAAAUACUGUGAAGGCCAAACAAAGCAAAUUUUCCACAAGCUGCCAGUUUGCAACCUCUAGGACAGAAAGGUUUAUAUCCAGACUUUCUCAGAUGCAAAGCGAAGGGGGGGGGGCUUUUAAAAUAAAAGUGACUAUCUUCAUGUCUUCCUUCCUAGGCUGGGAAAGACAUCACUGCAGCAAUUUGAUCAGGUAACAGGGCUCCUGGAAAGCCAAGAACCCAGCAGUUUCAUUUGGUACUCAAAAUGAAACCUAAUUUACCGUCACAUUUCUGUCAUUUUCAAGAUCGUUUUGGAGUCUUUUGAAGUCUCUUUGGUCUUUAUGAAAAACAACAGGGAUGUUGUAAUGUUCCAGCUAGCUUUGCCUUUCCAGAAUUUUCAGGUGAGCUUUCUUGUUGAAUGUGUGCUUUGUAUGUUUUCAGAGACCUCUUCACACCAGUCACUGUGCUUUCAGACUUUCCAGUAAUGUGCUCAGCAGUCCUGAGUGGGAACUAGCAGAAGGCUGGAGGUGAACAAACGGAGCUUUCAUCUGGUCCCAGGGAUCUAAGUAUAUAAAGACCACUGAAAAUGCUGUAUAGGAGGUAAGUAGUCACAUACAGUACUACCAUUCUCAAAUGUCAGCUUCGUUGCAAUUUAGAUGAUAUUGGAAUGAGAUGACCACAUGACAUGGUAAAACAUCUUUCUUAUGAAGAGUUAGUUUCCAUGUACUAGUGAAGGGUCUUGGCCAUGAAAUAAGUCCUAUUGAGUAGAUGUACUUAGCAAAUAUGUGAACAAUGGCACCAGAGUAGUUUUUGCUCUUGAGAUGGAACCCAGGGUCCUGUUCAUGCUAGGCAAGUGAUCUUCCAUUGAGCUAUGUUCUAACCUGAUAGAGUGACCUUGUGAUCACAUAAAAUUAGCUUAGAAACUCUUCUGACUUCCUGUGGAGAAUACAUUACAAAACUCUCAUGUACCCUGGACCAGAGAUGGAACAAUAUUGCUGUCUUAUAGGAGAUAUUAUUUGUGCUCGCAACAUAUUUGUGAUAUCAAGUCGAGCAUGUAGAUUUUUCUAGAAGAAACUAUGUGUCUCUUUGACCAAAGAGGCCAAGAACUAA
Molecule: long non-coding RNA, 1659 nt
Organism: Peromyscus leucopus (white-footed mouse)
Lineage: Eukaryota; Metazoa; Chordata; Mammalia; Rodentia; Cricetidae
Exons: 2
Source: RefSeq, a predicted model, not a curated record